This 461-nucleotide ribosomal RNA is filed under the name Lancefieldella rimae. RNAcentral's name for it is "bacterial SSU rRNA". It matches the Rfam family "Bacterial small subunit ribosomal RNA", at positions 28 to 500 of the family's 1533-position model. The record is from RNAcentral. Lineage: Bacteria; Bacillati; Actinomycetota; Coriobacteriia; Coriobacteriales; Atopobiaceae.
GAUGAACGCUGGCGGCGCGCCUAACACAUGCAAGUCGAACGGUUAAAGCACCUUUUAGGUGUGUAUAAAGUGGCGAACGGCUGAGUAACACGUGGGCAACCUGCCCUCCUCUUGGGGAUAGCCUCGGGAAACCGAGGAUAAUACCCGAUACUUCAAUGUGGCCGCAUGACGACAUUGAGAAAGCUUUUGCGGAGAAGGAUGGGCCCGCGGCCUGUUAGCUUGUUGGUGGGGUAGAGGCCUACCAAGGCAAUGAUGGGUAGCUGGGUUGAGAGACCGACCAGCCAGAUUGGGACUGAGACACGGCCCAGACUCCUACGGGAGGCAGCAGUGGGGAAUCUUGCACAAUGGGCGAAAGCCUGAUGCAGCGACGCCGCGUGCGGGACGAAGGCCUUUCGGGUUGUAAACCGCUUUCCAGCAGGGACGAGGCGAAAGUGACGUACCUGCAGAAGAAGCCCCGCUAC